CUAAUACCGCAUAACGUAUUCGGACCGCAUGAUCUGAAUACCAAAGCUUUAUGUGCUGAAAGAUGGCCUCGCGUCUGAUUAGCUAGUUGUGGGGUAAGGCCCACCAAGGCGACGAUCAGUAGCCGGUCUGAGAGGAUGAACGGCCACAUUGGGACUGAGAUACGGCCCCAGGACUCCUACGGGAGGCAGCAGUGGGGGAAUAUUGGGCAAUGGGGGAAACCCUGACCCAGCAACGCCGCGUGAAGGAAGAAGGCCUUCGGGUUGUAAACUUCUUUUACCAGGGACGAAGAACGUGACGGUACCUGGAGAAAAAGCAACGGCUAACUACGUG
Molecule: ribosomal RNA, 331 nt
Filed under: uncultured bacterium
Lineage: Bacteria
Description: bacterial SSU rRNA
Rfam family: Bacterial small subunit ribosomal RNA
Source: RNAcentral